CCACCUCUGCUCUUGGCGAGCUACCAUGAGCUGGGUUUGCACAAAGGCUGUUCUGUUUCCAGAAAGUCCCUGGGGAGCUGAGGAGUGAGGAAGCGGAGAACUUGGAAACUCAGCCAGUGUCCUUUUCAGCAAGUGGAAGGGAGGCUUAGCAAAGUCUCAGCACCAGCUAUACUCUGAAGGCAGGGAAACCGUUUGCUUCUCUUUUUCCAACACUCAGCUUCGGUGUCUAAGCCACGGUCCAGUCCUUUGGAAGGAGCUGGGUAAUACGUUGUUAACUGGAAAACAAGCAAUCUUCACUUCCUGUCUCUUCAAGUCAGCAGUCCAGGGAUCAGGACCACAAACCUGUCUCUGGGACAGGCCCGAAGAGAUGGUGGCCUUUAGGUGGGCAGAGAAGAGAGCUGUCAGCGUCCAAGAAAGCCAAGGUCUGGGCAGCCUCCCAGAUGCCUAGGAGCUUUUCCUCUUGCAAUCCGUGCCCCAUGGGACACGUUCCUCCUCCUCAGGGUGGAUCAGACCGACUGACUCACCUCUAACACACUUUGGCCAGACCGAUGGCAUCAUGAAAGCCUACGAAGACACUCCAGGUCCAUCGCAGAGCUCCCUCCCCACGCGGCCUCUUAAAUCAUGUGUUCUCGGGGAAUUUAUCUACCCUGCCGUGAACAGCACCAUCAAAGGGUCACCUGGAAUGUAAACUAGUACAACCAUCGUGGGUGUUGGUAUGGGGAGGACUCGAAAAACUAAAAGCAGGUAUCUUCCCAAAAGAGUUAAAGUCACACAUUAUAGUAAUACAGGCAACCCAUGUAUAUAGCAGCAGAACCCAUAAUAGAUGAAUCUUGACAGUGGCCUAUGUGUCCAUCAGCAGACGAGUAGAUAAAGAAUAUGUGGUACUUAUACACAAUGGAGUUCUGCUCUGCCAUAAAGAAAGAUACACUUGAGUCAUUUAUACAAAAAUGGAUGGAUCUUCAGACCAUAAUGCUAGGUCUAAUAAAUCAGACACAGAGGGUUAAAUAUCACAUGGUUUCCCUUACAUGACACUCAGAGUAUAAAUAAUUUAAAGAGAAAAAUAAAGAGAGAUGGUGGGAAAUAAGGCAGUAGACUGCGUGGAGAUGGGAAGAGGGUCUUGAGUAAGAGAAAAGGGGAGGCAGGGAGGGAGGGAUUGAAAUGAUCAAGACGCGACGUGUACAUGUACCAACUCCCCAG
Molecule: long non-coding RNA, 1197 nt
Filed under: Heterocephalus glaber (naked mole-rat)
Lineage: Eukaryota; Metazoa; Chordata; Mammalia; Rodentia; Bathyergidae
Description: lncRNA (ENSHGLG00100025318.2)
Source: RNAcentral